GUUACCUUCGGGUAAUGAGGAUGGCGGACGGGUGAGUAACGCGUAAGGAACUUGCCUCUUGGACUGGGACAACUGUUGGAAACGACAGCUAAUACCGGAUAUUAUGAGAUUCUCGCAUGAGAAACUUAUGAAAGCUAUAUGCGCCAAGAGAGAGCCUUGCGUUCCAUUAGCUAGUUGGUGGGGUAACGGCCCACCAAGGCGACGAUGGAUAGCCGGCCUGAGAGGGUGAACGGCCACAAGGGGACUGAGACACGGCCCUUACUCCUACGGGAGGCAGCAGUGGGGAAUAUUGGACAAUGGACCAAAAGUCUGAUCCAGCAAUUCUGUGUGCACGAUGAAGGUCUUCGGAUUGUAAAGUGCUUUCAGUUGGGAAGAAGCAAGUGACGGUACCAACAGAAGAAGCGACGGCUAAAUACGUGCCAGCAGCCGCGGUAAUACGUAUGUCGCAAGCGUUAUCCGGAUUUAUUGGGCGUAAAGCGCGUCUAGGCGGAAAAAUAAGUCUGAUGUUAAAAUGCGGGGCUCAACUCCGUAUUGCGUUGGAAACUGUUUUUCUAGAGUACUGGAGAGGUGGGCGGAACUACAAGUGUAGAGGUGAAAUUCGUAGAUAUUUGUA
This 613-nucleotide ribosomal RNA is filed under the name uncultured bacterium. RNAcentral's name for it is "bacterial SSU rRNA". It matches the Rfam family "Bacterial small subunit ribosomal RNA", at positions 73 to 702 of the family's 1533-position model. The record is from RNAcentral.